Molecule: small RNA, 115 nt
Filed under: Staphylococcus aureus
Lineage: Bacteria; Bacillati; Bacillota; Bacilli; Caryophanales; Staphylococcaceae
Description: 3'UTR
Source: RNAcentral
UAGAAGCAUCAUCAUUACUUGAUUAUUUGCUCUUUACAACACCGAGCGUGCCCGUACUCGGUAGUUCAAUACCUUGCGUAACCCGUCACUGUGAAUUGGGUUAAUGAUAAUAAAG